This 46-nucleotide ribosomal RNA is filed under the name Venturia inaequalis. Its description in RNAcentral is "partial 18S ribosomal RNA". The record is from RNAcentral. Lineage: Eukaryota; Fungi; Ascomycota; Dothideomycetes; Venturiales; Venturiaceae.
AGACGGUAAAAGGUGGGCACCAAACCGUUCCGUAGGUGAACCUGCG